RNAcentral lists this ribosomal RNA (253 nucleotides) under uncultured bacterium. Its description in RNAcentral is "partial 16S ribosomal RNA". It matches the Rfam family "Bacterial small subunit ribosomal RNA", at positions 524 to 776 of the family's 1533-position model. The record is from RNAcentral.
UACGGAGGAUGCAAGCGUUAUCCGGAAUGAUUGGGCGUAAAGCGUCCGCAGGUGGCAAUGUAAGUCUGCUGUCAAAGCGUCUGGCUCAACCAGAUAAAGGCAGUGGAAACUACAUAGCUAGAGUAAGGUAGGGGUAGAGGGAAUUCCUGGUGUAGCGGUGAAAUGCGUAGAGAUCAGGAAGAACACCGGUGGCGAAAGCGCUCUGCUGGACCUUAACUGACACUGAGGGACGAAAGCUAGGGGAGCGAACGGG